UUGAAAGUGACCUUGCACUCUCAAAAAAAUAAAAAAAAAAAUAAAAAAACAACGAUCUCCAUUGUUAAGUUUGGGUUGGAUUUAGAUUAACAUCUUAUCAAAGGAGAGGAAAAUCGGCAAAGCUAACAUCAGGUGAAGGUAAUUGGUAUUUGGGUUCUUAACGUACCCGUGACAAAUAUUUUGAGCAUAUGAACUUUUUGGAUGAUCAACAACAAUAUGAAGAACAUACCCAUAACAGAUUUUUUAUUUAUAAUUGCUAUUUUUAUUUCUUAUAAAUUUUCAUAGAAUGAAUUUUCGCAUAUUUUUUUUAUACAAAUAUGUAGAUACAUUAAAUGCAAAAUCUCAAACUAUUAACUGAUUUAGUUUUUCGGCAUUUUUC
Molecule: long non-coding RNA, 379 nt
Organism: Chenopodium quinoa (quinoa)
Lineage: Eukaryota; Viridiplantae; Streptophyta; Magnoliopsida; Caryophyllales; Amaranthaceae
Exons: 2
Source: RefSeq, a predicted model, not a curated record